CCUCCCGACAUGUCGCAGAAGCCCUAGGGACUGUUCCGCAGCUCUAGAUGGCCCAGUGGGGAGGGGCUGCCCUGUGGGCAUUGCUGUCUGAUGGCCUGAAGGCACCGCUUGGAGGGACACAUGCCUGGGGACAGUGGGCUCACAGAUGUCUUGCUGCUUUGCCACCGAGCCUCACAGCCAUCUGCUGACCUCUCAGAGCCCAGCAGGCCCCUGCCCGGGGGUUCGUGGAAUGCCCCUGGGGGUCUCAGACCCACUGCUCAGCUCUUGGCCAGGCUCCGUAUCUCUCUAGAUUGGAGGAUUCUGGAGGGAAGUCGGUGUGGCCUCCGAUCAAAGCCUGGUGCUGACGGCCCCGAAGCGGGUGGAGGGCUUGUUCCUCACCUUGAGCGGGAGUAACCUGACCGUGAAGGUUGCAUAUAACAGCUCAGGAAGCUGUGAGAUAGAGAAGAUCGUGGGCUCAGAAAUAGACAGUACGGGAAAAUUCGCUUUUCCUGCUUCUGUAGUGUCUCCAACCACUCAAGUGCUGGGACUGGGUGGGGGCAGGAUGGAGUUAGACCCUGCAGACCCUGGCCUUCGAGGUCCGUCCCCCUCAGACGUCUCCCCCAACGCCAUGGCCGGCUCUUGAAGGCCACAGAGAGAUCCACGUGCUGGACACCGACUACGAGGGCUACGCCAUCCUGCGGGUGUCCCUGAUGUGGCGGGGCAGGAACUUUCGCGUCCUCAAGUACUUUACUCGGAGCCUUGAGGACAAGGACCGGCUGGGGUUCUGGAAGUUUCGGGAGCUGACAGCAGACACUGGUCUCUACCUGGCGGCCCGGCCUGGGCGGUGUGCCGAGCUCCUGAAGGAGGAGCUGAUUUAAUGGAGUUCCUGCCUCAGACCACAAGGUUCGGAGCGCCCGCCCACCCCUGCCCCUCCUGGGCACCCUGCCCACCAGGUCACCUGCACCUGCUCUGAAUAAACUGUGAAGUCAA
Molecule: long non-coding RNA, 969 nt
Filed under: Homo sapiens (human)
Lineage: Eukaryota; Metazoa; Chordata; Mammalia; Primates; Hominidae
Description: non-protein coding lnc-LCN8-1:2
Source: RNAcentral